GUUGUUGUUAGUUGUUGUUGUUAUUGGUUGUUGUUAUUGGUUGUUGUUGUUAUGGAUAGAUGGUGUUAUUAUUUACAUAUAACUGUUACUAAUUUUUCAGCGAAAUCGACAAGGUUGCAGAUGGUAUCGGUUAUAAACUGGGCAACAUGGUAUCUAGCAUUGUAUCACUGAUAGCCGGUUACAUUAUUGCCUUUAUUUAUUGUUGGCAACUGUCACUUGUAUUAGCAGCUUUGUUUCCAGUAAUGAUUGUUAUUGGAUCAUUGAUGGCAAAGGUAUGUUUAGCUAGCACGAUUUAAAUUAAGGCUGUUUUUCAUUACUGAUAAAGCUAGUCAGUAU
Non-coding RNA from Paramuricea clavata, 336 nucleotides. The record is from the annotation of a GenBank genome assembly. Lineage: Eukaryota; Metazoa; Cnidaria; Anthozoa; Malacalcyonacea; Plexauridae.